UGCUCAAAUGCCUCGAGGGGGAGACCAGCCAGACCCUCAGCUUUGAACAACGUCUCUUCCGCGAACGGGCUUUGCCCGACCUGGGCAAGAACAUCCUGUGCGGGAACAGUUUGAUUGGCACGGACAUCGUGGGGACCGACGCGUGGAACGCAAUGAGCGAGGAGGAACGGCGCCGAGUGAACCCGUUCGACUAUGAGCCGGCGUUUCCGCAGGUGUUCAAGAAUAAGAAGGACGGUGGGUUUGACGCGGUCAUCGGGAAUCCGCCGUACAUCUUUACUCGUGAACUGAUGACGGAGGCGGAACGCGAUUACUACGCAUCCAAGUUCGUGGCGUCUUGGGAGAAGCAGAAUACCUUCAUGCUGUUCAUGGAACACGCCGAGCAGAUGACGCAGAGCGCGGGCCUCUUCUCGUACAUCGUGCCGAAUUCGUGGCUCACAGUGGAGAGCGCGAAACUCCUUCGCGAACUACUCCGCCCAAAGCUCAAGGUGAUCAUCGAUCUCAACUACCAGGUUUUCGAUGACGUCUCUAUGGAGCCGUCUAUUUUCAUUUGCGGCAAGCACAAGUCAGAAACGGUAGCGGUGACACGUGUUAAUUCCCGUGCGGAGUUCGCUCACCCUGUCUGGCGGAUAAUUGAAAAAGGGAAAUGGGAUACGAGCGGUCGUAUCACGUUCAACGCAACAGCAGGCUUGGACCAGUUGCUGGCCAAGGCGACUUCAUCUUCAUCCACAGUGGGCGACGUAUUCGACGUACGAACUGGCCUACAGGCCUACGAGGCUGGGAAGGGUACGCCGAAGCAAACCGCUGCUGAUGUUCGUGAUCAUGUGUUCGACAGGGAUCGGAAGGACUCCGAACACACAUUUCCGUAUUUGGAGGGCCGUGAUGUCAAACGGUACGAGACCGUCUGGUCGGGGAUGUGGAUGAAGUACGGGCCGUGGCUGUCCCAACCGCGAACGAUUGACAUGUUUUCGCGCCCACGCGUCUUAAUUCGCGAGAUCACUGCCCCGCCACCCCGAUGUCUCUUCGCGACACUUCAGAA
Molecule: unclassified non-coding RNA, 1036 nt
Filed under: uncultured fungus
Lineage: Eukaryota; Fungi
Description: sequence contains 18S rRNA gene, ITS1, 5.8S rRNA gene, ITS2, 28S rRNA gene
Source: RNAcentral